GCGGUGGCGCGGCUGGAGUGCCGCGGGGAGGGCUGUGCCGGUUGCUUUCUGCAGCCGCAUCUCGGCCAGCUCUCCUCGCCGUCCCCGGGGCGCUGUGCGUCUCCAGUCCGGGACCGAAGCCGCCUGCCGUAGCGGGCGGCCAGAUCCGCGUCCCGCCUCAGCGGCCGGAGGACAUGCGGGAGAGAGAAUGAGCCAGAGGGACACGCUGGUGCAUCUGUUUGCCGGAGGAUGUGGUGGUACAGUGGGAGCUAUUCUGACAUGUCCACUGGAAGUUGUAAAAACACGACUGCAGUCAUCUUCUGUGACGCUUUAUAUUUCUGAAGUUCAGCUGAACACCAUGGCUGGAGCCAGUGUCAACCGAGUAGUGUCUCCCGGACCUCUUCAUUGCCUAAAAGCAAUAUACUUUGCUGCUUAUUCAAACUGCAAGGAAAAGUUGAAUGAUGUAUUUGAUCCUGAUUCUACCCAAGUACAUAUGAUUUCAGCUGCAAUGGCAGGUAUGAAUGUAUAAUAUUAAAAAACAAAAAACUUUCUGAAACCUAGAGGCUUAAUAUUGAAUUAUAAGUUUGUAGUGAAAAGUUGAUGAUUAAUGUGCUUUUCAUUGAUUAGAUGAUUUUUAUAUUUAUCGAUAUAAACCAAAUUAGGUAUAUGUAAAAUCUGUCAUCAGUUGACAUUUUUGUAGUCAGGAGUUUACAUGCUAGGGUACAAGUAAUAUAUUUAUAUUGCCUUGUGUAGUCCAC
This 737-nucleotide small RNA is filed under the name Pan troglodytes (chimpanzee). Its description in RNAcentral is "retained intron". Lineage: Eukaryota; Metazoa; Chordata; Mammalia; Primates; Hominidae. The record is from RNAcentral.